GAUGAAGAACGUAGCAAAAUGCGAUAAGUAAUGUGAAUUGCAGAAUUCAGUGAAUCAUCGAAUUUUUGAACGCACAUUGCGCCCGCUGGUAUUCCGGCGGGCAUGCCUGUUCGAGCGUCAUUUCAACCCUCAAACCCCCCGGGUUUGGUGUUGGGGAUCGGCUCUGCCUCACGGCGGUGCCGCCCCCGAAAUACAUUGGCGGUCUCGCUGCAGCCUCCAUUGCGUAGUAGCUAACACCACGCAACUGGAACGCGGCGCGGCCAUGCCGUAAAACCCCAACUUCUGAAUGUUGACCUCGGAUCAGGUAGGAAUACCCGCUGAACUUAAGCAUAUCAAUAAGCGGAGGA
Molecule: unclassified non-coding RNA, 347 nt
Filed under: soil metagenome
Description: partial contains 5.8S ribosomal RNA, internal transcribed spacer 2, and large subunit ribosomal RNA
Rfam family: 5.8S ribosomal RNA (bases 1-120)
Source: RNAcentral